This 796-nucleotide ribosomal RNA is filed under the name uncultured Streptococcaceae bacterium. RNAcentral describes it as "bacterial SSU rRNA". It matches the Rfam family "Bacterial small subunit ribosomal RNA", at positions 74 to 857 of the family's 1533-position model. Lineage: Bacteria; Bacillati; Bacillota; Bacilli; Lactobacillales; Streptococcaceae. The record is from RNAcentral.
UUACUACACCGUAUUCUGUGAGUUGCGAACGGGUGAGUAACGCGUAGGUAACCUGCCUGGUAGCGGGGGAUAACUAUUGGAAACGAUAGCUAAUACCGCAUAAGAACAUUUACUGCAUGGUAGAUGUUUAAAAGGUGCAAAAGCAUCACUACCAGAUGGACCUGCGUUGUAUUAGCUAGUUGGUGAGGUAACGGCUCACCAAGGCAACGAUACAUAGCCGACCUGAGAGGGUGAUCGGCCACACUGGGACUGAGACACGGCCCAGACUCCUACGGGAGGCAGCAGUAGGGAAUCUUCGGCAAUGGGGGGAACCCUGACCGAGCAACGCCGCGUGAGUGAAGAAGGUUUUCGGAUCGUAAAGCUCUGUUGUUAAGGAAGAACGUGUGUGAGAGUGGAAAGUUCACACAGUGACGGUACUUAACCAGAAAGGGACGGCUAACUACGUGCCAGCAGCCGCGGUAAUACGUAGGUCCCGAGCGUUGUCCGGAUUUAUUGGGCGUAAGGCGAGCGCAGGCGGUUAGAUAAGUCUGAAGUGAAAGGCAGUGGCUCAACCAUUGUAGGCUUUGGAAACUGUUUAACUUGAGUGCAGAAGGGGAGAGUGGAAUUCCAUGUGUAGCGGUGAAAUGCGUAGAUAUAUGGAGGAACACCGGUGGCGAAAGCGGCUCUCUGGUCUGUAACUGACGCUGAGGCUCGAAAGCGUGGGGAGCGAACAGGAUUAGAUACCCUGGUAGUCCACGCCGUAAACGAUGAGUGCUAGGUGUUAGGUCCUUUCCGGGACUUAGUGCCGCAGCUAACG